This 1289-nucleotide ribosomal RNA is filed under the name uncultured bacterium. RNAcentral's name for it is "bacterial SSU rRNA". It matches the Rfam family "Bacterial small subunit ribosomal RNA", at positions 26 to 1336 of the family's 1533-position model. The record is from RNAcentral.
ACGAUAAACGCUGGCGGCGUGCCUAACACAUGCAAGUCGAACGCUCUUUUGUGGGAAACUACAAGAGGGAGUGGCGGACGGGUGAGUAACGCGUGGGUUAUCUACCUUGAGGUGAGGAAUACCGGCGAGAAAUCGCCGACAAGACCGCAUAGCCUGGAGUCUCUCCAGGAAAGUUCCGGCGACGGGACGCCCCAAGAUGAGCCUGCGUCCGAUUAGCUUUGUUGGUGGGGUAACGGCCUACCAAAGCGACGAUCGGUAGCUGGUCUGAGAGGACGAUCAGCCACACUGGGAUUGAGAACGGCCCAGACUCCUACGGGGGCAGCAGUGAGGAAUUUUCGUCAAUGGGGGAAACCCUGAACGAGCAACGCCGCGUGCAGGAAGAAGGUUUUCGGAUCGUAAACUGCUUUUCUCGGGGAAGAGAAUGGACGGUACCCGAGGAAGAAGCCCCGGCUAACUACGUGCCAGCAGCCGCGGUAAUACGUAGGGGGCAAGCGUUGUCCGGAUUUAUUGGGCGUAAAGCGCACGCAGGCGGUCUUCUACGUUUCCAGUGACAGGUGGUGGCUCAACUGCCACAGGUCUGGGAAAACGGGUUGACUUGAGGACGAGAGAGGGAUGCGGAAUUCCAGGUGGAGCGGUGAAAUGCGUAGAGAUCUGGAAGAACACCAAUGGCGAAGGCAGCAUCCUGGAUCGUUUCUGACGCUCCGGUGCGAAAGCCAGGGGAGCGAACGGGAUUAGAUACCCCGGUAGUCCUGGCUGUAAACGAUGACCACUAGACGUAGGAGGUAUCGACCCCUUCUGUGUCGCAGCUAACGCACUAAGUGGUCCGCCUGGGGAGUACGGUCGCAAGAUUAAAACUCAAAGGAAUUGACGGGGACCCGCACAAGCAGCGGAGCGUGUGGUUUAAUUCGAUGCAACGCGAAGAACCUUACCAAGGCUUGACAUGGACCUGCACCAGCCGUAACGGGCUGUCUCUUUCGGGAGCGGGUUCACAGGUGCUGCAUGGCUGUCGUCAGCUCGUGUCGUGAGAUGUUGGGUUAAGUCCCGCAACGAGCGCAACCCUCGUCCUUAGUUGCCACCAUUCAGUUGGGCACUCUAAGGAGACUGCCGGCGUUAAGCCGGAGGAAGGUGGGGACGACGUCAAGUCAUCAUGGCCCUUAUGUCCAGGGCCACACACGUGCUACAAUGGGCGGUACAAAGGGUCGCAAACCCGCGAGGGGGAGCCAAUCCCAAAAAGCCGCUCUCAGUUCGGAUUGGAGUCUGCAACUCGACUCCAUGAAGUUGGAAUCGCU